Molecule: ribosomal RNA, 254 nt
Filed under: uncultured bacterium
Lineage: Bacteria
Description: partial 16S ribosomal RNA
Rfam family: Bacterial small subunit ribosomal RNA
Source: RNAcentral
UACGAAGGGGGCUAGCGUUGCUCGGAAUCACUGGGCGUAAAGGGUGCGUAGGCGGGUCUUUAAGUCAGGGGUGAAGUCCUGGAGCUCAACUCCCAGAACUGCCUUUGAUACUGAGGAUCUUGAGUUCGGGAGAGGUGAGUGGAACUGCGAGUGUAGAGGUGAAAUUCGUAGAUAUUCGCAAGAACACCAGUGGCGAAGGCGGCUCACUGGCCCGAUACUGACGCUGAGGCACGAAAGCGUGGGGAGCAAACAGG